AGUGAACGCUGGCGGUAGGCCUAACACAUGCAAGUCGAACGGCAGCACAGUAAGAGCUUGCUCUUACGGGUGGCGAGUGGCGGACGGGUGAGGAAUACAUCGGAAUCUACUUUUUCGUGGGGGAUAACGUAGGGAAACUUACGCUAAUACCGCAUACGACCUACGUGUGAAAGCAGGGGAUCUUCGGACCUUGCGCGAUUGAAUGAGCCGAUGUCGGAUUAGCUAGUUGGCGGGGUAAAGGCCCACCAAGGCGACGAUCCGUAGCUGGUCUGAGAGGAUGAUCAGCAACACUGGAACUGAGACACGGUCCAGACUCCUACGGGAGGCAGCAGUGGGGAAUAUUGGACAAUGGGCGAAAGCCUGAUCCAGCAAUACCGCGUGGGUGAAGAAGGCCUUCGGGUUGUAAAGCCCUUUUGUUGGGAAAGAAAAGCAGCAGGUUAAUACCCCGCUGUUCUGACGGUACCCAAAGAAUAAGCACCGGCUAACUUCGUG
RNAcentral lists this ribosomal RNA (492 nucleotides) under uncultured bacterium. RNAcentral's name for it is "partial 16S ribosomal RNA". It matches the Rfam family "Bacterial small subunit ribosomal RNA", at positions 29 to 507 of the family's 1533-position model. The record is from RNAcentral.